RNAcentral lists this ribosomal RNA (735 nucleotides) under uncultured bacterium. RNAcentral describes it as "bacterial SSU rRNA". It matches the Rfam family "Bacterial small subunit ribosomal RNA", at positions 28 to 776 of the family's 1533-position model. The record is from RNAcentral.
GACGAACGCUGGCGGCGCGCCUAACACAUGCAAGUCGAACGAGCGAGAGAGAGCUUGCUUUCUCGAGCGAGUGGCGAACGGGUGAGUAACGCGUGAGGAACCUGCCUCAAAGAGGGGGACAACAGUUGGAAACGACUGCUAAUACCGCAUAAGCCCACAGGUCGGCAUCGACCAGAGGGAAAAGGAGCAAUCCGCUUUGAGAUGGCCUCGCGUCCGAUUAGCUGGUUGGUGAGGUAACGGCCCACCAAGGCGACGAUCGGUAGCCGGACUGAGAGGUUGAACGGCCACAUUGGGACUGAGACACGGCCCAGACUCCUACGGGAGGCAGCAGUGGGGAAUAUUGCACAAUGGGGGAAACCCUGAUGCAGCGACGCCGCGUGGAGGAAGAAGGUCUUCGGAUUGUAAACUCCUGUUGUUGAGGAAGAUAAUGACGGUACUCAACAAGGAAGUGACGGCUAACUACGUGCCAGCAGCCGCGGUAAAACGUAGGUCGCAAGCGUUGUCCGGAAUUACUGGGUGUAAAGGGAGCGCAGGCGGGAAGACAAGUUGGAAGUGAAAUCUAUGGGCUCAACCCAUAAACUGCUUUCAAAACUGUUUUUCUUGAGUAGUGCAGAGGUAGGCGGAAUUCCCGGUGUAGCGGUGGAAUGCGUAGAUAUCGGGAGGAACACCAGUGGCGAAGGCGGCCUACUGGGCACCAACUGACGCUGAGGCUCGAAAGUGUGGGUAGCAAACAGG